GAGUUUGAUCUUGGCUCAGGAUGAACGCUGGCGGCGUGCCUAAUACAUGCAAGUCGAGCGAACAGACGAGGAGCUUGCUCCUCUGACGUUAGCGGCGGACGGGUGAGUAACACGUGGAUAACCUACCUAUAAGACUGGGAUAACUUCGGGAAACCGGAGCUAAUACCGGAUAAUAUAUUGAACCGCAUGGUUCAAUAGUGAAAGACGGUUUUGCUGUCACUUAUAGAUGGAUCCGCGCCGCAUUAGCUAGUUGGUAAGGUAACGGCUUACCAAGGCAACGAUGCGUAGCCGACCUGAGAGGGUGAUCGGCCACACUGGAACUGAGACACGGUCCAGACUCCUACGGGAGGCAGCAGUAGGGAAUCUUCCGCAAUGGGCGAAAGCCUGACGGAGCAACGCCGCGUGAGUGAUGAAGGUCUUCGGAUCGUAAAACUCUGUUAUUAGGGAAGAACAAUGUGUAAGUAACUAUGCACGUCUUGACGGUACCUAAUCAGAAAGCCACGGCUAACUACGUGCCAGC
Molecule: ribosomal RNA, 520 nt
Filed under: uncultured microorganism
Description: bacterial SSU rRNA
Rfam family: Bacterial small subunit ribosomal RNA
Source: RNAcentral